This 64-nucleotide transfer RNA is filed under the name Sagmariasus verreauxi (green rock lobster). RNAcentral describes it as "tRNA-Cys". It matches the Rfam family "tRNA". Rfam says of the family: Transfer RNA (tRNA) molecules are approximately 80 nucleotides in length. Their secondary structure includes four short double-helical elements and three loops (D, anti-codon, and T loops). Lineage: Eukaryota; Metazoa; Arthropoda; Malacostraca; Decapoda; Palinuridae. The record is from RNAcentral.
GGCUUGGUAGUUUAAGUUAAGACACUAGAUUGCAAAUUUAGAGAUGUAAAUAAUACUCAAGCUU